UUCACGGAGAGUUUGAUCCUGGCUCAGGACGAACGCUGGCGGCGUGCUUAACACAUGCAAGUCGAGCGAGGCCCCUCCUUCGGGAGGGUGCCCUAGCGGCGAACGGGUGAGUAACACGUGGGCAACCUGCCCCUAGCACUGGGAUAACUCCGGGAAACCGGGGCUAAUACCGGAUAUGACCUCUGAGGGCAUCCUCUAAGGUGUAAAGGAUUC
This 213-nucleotide ribosomal RNA is filed under the name Actinomycetota bacterium. RNAcentral describes it as "partial 16S ribosomal RNA". It matches the Rfam family "Bacterial small subunit ribosomal RNA", at positions 1 to 212 of the family's 1533-position model. The record is from RNAcentral. Lineage: Bacteria; Bacillati; Actinomycetota.